GACGAACGCUGGCGGCGUGCUUAACACAUGCAAGUCGAACGGAGUUACGUUUUCGGAUGUAACUUAGUGGCGAACGGGUGAGUAACGCGUGAGGAACCUGCCUUUCAGUGGGGGACGAACAGUUGGAAACGACUGCUAAUACCGCAUGACACUACCGAGUGGCAUCACUUGGCAGUCAAAGAUUUAUUGCUGAAAGAUGGCCUCGCGUCUGAUUAGCUGGUUGGUGGGGUAACGGCCUACCAAGGCGACGAUCAGUAGCCGACCUGAGAGGGUGACCGGCCACAUUGGGACUGAGACACGGCCCAAACUCCUACGGGAGGCAGCAGUGGGGAAUAUUGCACAAUAGGCGGAAAGACCUGAUGCAGCGACGCCGCGUGAACGAAG
RNAcentral lists this ribosomal RNA (384 nucleotides) under uncultured bacterium. RNAcentral's name for it is "bacterial SSU rRNA". It matches the Rfam family "Bacterial small subunit ribosomal RNA", at positions 28 to 410 of the family's 1533-position model. The record is from RNAcentral.